UUCGAGCGUCAGUACAACACUCAAGCCUAGCUUGGUCUUGGGCCUCGCCGGAAACGGCGGGCCUUAAAAUCAGUGGCGGCGCCUGUUAGGCCCUAAGCGUAGUAAUACUCCUCGCUAUAGGGACCCGGCAGACGCUGGCCAGCAACCCCCAACUUUCUAAGUUUGACCUCGGAUCAGGUAGGGAUACCCGCUGAACUUAA
Molecule: unclassified non-coding RNA, 200 nt
Filed under: soil metagenome
Description: partial contains internal transcribed spacer 2 and large subunit ribosomal RNA
Source: RNAcentral